GCAGCCCUACUCUUGUGGAGCUGCCACAGGCAACUGGAUCUCUCCAAUAGCCCAGGGAACUUGGCUCGUUCCAAAUGCUCAUUCCCAGGCCUCUGCCAGCAAGAGAGUGAAACACUCACGUGCAGGACAUGGCAGGUGUAUCCAAAUGCUCUUGGACACCAUCCUGAACCAAAGAAGACACGGGAUCUCUGGACUAGGCUGACUCCCACUGGCCAAGGCCGUGGCCUGACGUGCUGCUCUGCUGUUGCUGCUUAGCUCAUUAAAGGUGCUGUUCCCCCCAAAAUCCCAUCUCUACCCCUCCUUCCCCACCAGACAGCCCUGAUUCCUUACACACCAAUGUUGGAGUUCUGGGAAUAGCAGGAAGUAGGAACAGCCUUACCUGGAACUGCUCCUGGCAGAAGACGGUCUGUAAUUGCAGCAUGAGGAUUGAGGACAGAAUACUGCCACUGUGAGGAAUCUCCUGUUUCUAAUUUUAUUUUCCUAUCUGUUCAUUAAUGUCAUGAAAAAUUAAAAAAGAAGUGUAGGGUGUUACAAAGUCCUGUCAUACAAAUGUGUCUUCUAAGUCAUAAAUUAAUGAUUUGUUUUCUCCAUCUGCUUUGCCUGAUACAAACAGGAACAGUCUGCUUUUGCUGAGAGUGGAAAUGCCUCUGUUGAAAUGAUCUUGUGGAAAUAGGAAGAUGCAAGAAGAAAAUGUUCAAGUAGUCUGUAAAGCCUGCACACUGCAACAAACAGAAGGAAAGUUCACAAAAGAAAAUAAGAGUUGGAGGAUAGUGAUUGAUCUGUAUCAUAUGCUGUCCUCAUGUGCUUUCUUUUGGGAGAAUAGCUGCUGUCCUUUGCCAUUCCUGAGCUGGCAUUACUCACCAAUCUCUGGGCAAGGAUUCCAAGCCAAACACCACAUCCAGUGGUUUCUGUCUGGAGAGGAUAUGAGUCUUCCACAUUCAGCUGUAGUGAAGAAGAUUAUAAUAAAAUAAAAAAGAAUAAAAGAUUGCGUUGUUACCACCUUCAAUAUUUCUGUUUCUCCUGAGAUAUGGAUUCUUCUUUGCCUGGUAUUAGCAUGCAGAGUUGAAGCAAAGGCUUAAUCUCUUCACAUUGCCUUCAGAAAAUCAAUUUGUUUUGCUAAAAUGAAACGGACAUACGGUGUCAAGGAACUCUAUUUGAGUGUGACUAGAGAUACUCAUGACUUCACCAAGGUGUCAAAAAGUGUUCCUACUGCCUGCAUUCUUCUGAAGGGAAUAAAGUAAUUUAGGAAGUGUCA
Molecule: long non-coding RNA, 1255 nt
Filed under: Junco hyemalis (dark-eyed junco)
Lineage: Eukaryota; Metazoa; Chordata; Aves; Passeriformes; Passerellidae
Description: lncRNA (ENSJHYG00000009131.1)
Source: RNAcentral